This is a long non-coding RNA of Rhineura floridana, 458 nucleotides long. RefSeq lists it as uncharacterized. Lineage: Eukaryota; Metazoa; Chordata; Lepidosauria; Squamata; Rhineuridae. The record is from RefSeq and is a predicted model, not a curated record. The transcript is spliced from 3 exons.
AUACUGGCCUCAUUCAGUACUGAGCAGUAAUAGCUGAUUUCUGUAAGUGCCAUGAAGACACUUACUGCCUUUCUCCUUGUGGGACUUCUGGCCCUCUGGGUAGAAUUACCCUCCACAACUUGUAGGAAGAACCCAACAGGCAAACCUGGAAUGUGCCCAACAGACCGUUGCUUUUGCUUUCGUGUUCAACCUAAUAAGUGCACAAAUGAUUUUGGUUGCAAAGAAAAGAAAAAAUGCUGUUAUUCUUGUUGUGUGAGGCAAUGUGUGGAUCCAAAAUAAGGAUGUUUCCUCUUCAUCACAAGAUGGCUGAAGACAAGAUGAAGAACAGGGUUGUGUUGUGGCUCAUCAUGUUUAUGAAGACUGAAAGAGAAAUGAAAAGUUCCAAGCAGGAUGGGGAUUCUUUGUGUAUUCGUUAUCCUUUUCCCGCCUAAUGAUACCUUAUAAACAUUCCCCCAAAA